UUGCUACAAUGGGGGAAACCCUGAUGCAGCCAUGCCGCGUGUGUGAAGAAGGCCUUCGGGUUGUAAAGCACUUUCAGUAGGGAGGAAGGUAGUGUAGUUAACACCUGCUAUUACUUUGACGUUACCUACAGAAGAAGCACCGGCUAACUCCGUGCCAGCAGCCGCGGUAAUACGGAGGGUGCGAGCGUUAAUCGGAAUUACUGGGCGUAAAGCGCAUGCAGGCGGCCUGUUAAGUCAGAUGUGAAAGCCCGGGGCUUAACCUCGGAAUUGCAUUUGAAACUGGCAGGCUAGAGUCUUGUAGAGGGGGUAGAAUUUCAGGUGUAGCGGUGAAAUGCGUAGAGAUCUGAAGGAAUACCAGUGGCGAAGGCGGCCCCCUGGACAAAGACUGACGCUCAGAUGCGAAAGCGUGGGGAGCAAACAGGAUUAGAUACCCUGGUAG
This 439-nucleotide ribosomal RNA is filed under the name uncultured bacterium. RNAcentral's name for it is "bacterial SSU rRNA". It matches the Rfam family "Bacterial small subunit ribosomal RNA", at positions 364 to 793 of the family's 1533-position model. The record is from RNAcentral.